RNAcentral lists this ribosomal RNA (292 nucleotides) under uncultured bacterium. RNAcentral describes it as "partial 16S ribosomal RNA". It matches the Rfam family "Bacterial small subunit ribosomal RNA", at positions 505 to 796 of the family's 1533-position model. The record is from RNAcentral.
GUGCCAGCAGCCGCGGUAAUACGGAGGGUGCGAGCGUUAAUCGGAAUUACUGGGCGUAAAGCGUGCGUAGGCGGUUAGCUAAGUCAGAUGUGAAAGCCCCGGGCUUAGCCUGGGAACUGCAUUUGAUACUGGGUAACUAGAGUUUAGUAGAGGAAAGUGGAAUUUCAGGUGUAGCGGUGAAAUGCGUAGAGAUCUGAAGGAACACCAGUGGCGAAGGCGACUUUCUGGACUAAAACUGACGCUGAGGUACGAAAGCGUGGGUAGCAAACAGGAUUAGAAACCCUGGUAGUCC